UGGAUGAGGACAGAGAAGAAGAGUAUGAUACGAGUAUGUAUCACUUUGGCGAGCAUGUAGCGCCUUUCAAACAGAGUAAGAGCUUGACUGAAGCUCACAAAAAAACAAGCCUACUGCAGAAGUGGAACAAGAAGCAGGAGAAGAUUAUUUCCAAGUGCUUGAAGACUAUCAAGUCUCUAAAGGCGAUGAUAAGUUGCUCCUCUUCCAGCACAGCUAUGCCA
Molecule: microRNA precursor, 221 nt
Filed under: Arabidopsis halleri subsp. gemmifera
Lineage: Eukaryota; Viridiplantae; Streptophyta; Magnoliopsida; Brassicales; Brassicaceae
Description: pre miRNA MIR854
Rfam family: MIR854 microRNA precursor family
Source: RNAcentral